Long non-coding RNA from Gallus gallus (chicken), 15170 nucleotides. RefSeq lists it as uncharacterized. The transcript is spliced from 9 exons. NCBI's taxonomy places the organism in Eukaryota, Metazoa, Chordata, Aves, Galliformes, Phasianidae. The record is from RefSeq and is a predicted model, not a curated record.
GGAUCUCUUUCUAGAGAUCCCUCCUUUUUGGAAUUUUUCACUGCAAGCCUGGCUCCUCAGAUACAGGUGCCUUCAUCAUGUGCCAUGCUUUAAUCCUUCUGCAGCUUCUUCUGGUGCUUCAGAGGAGAGCACUCCUUGGGAUAGAUGGGUUUGCUUUGAAUUUCCAGACUCUUGGGCCAGGCACGUGAUUGCCUUGUGAUCAUACAUGAGAGUACAGUUGUAGCUCUGAUCCAAUUCUGUAACAGUCCAAACCAGAUGAAUGAAACAAGAAACAGACAUAGGGGCAGGUUACUAUCAUAGCUUGGCACCUCCUCACCUGAAGCUUUUCAAGACUAGACAGAGCACAGCACACCUAUCCGGGACAUGGCAGAUAGUCCUGCUCUGAGACAGCGACGGAGUGCGCACCUCUUUCACCACAGCCGCAAGGGAGCGCCCAAACAGGGACCAUAACGAACAGGGACACAGAUAGGGGCAAGGAGGAACAGGGACCUGAAACUUAACCUGACUUGAAGACUACACGUUGAGAGAAACGAGGAGCAAUUUGUAAAACAGUGCGUUGAGACAAACGCUGCAACCUGAGGGUUCAUCGUCCUCAACAGCUCCGAUUGCCUUUCGCUGGACGAAGGUGUUCCUCCUGGGCUCUGUAUCAUGCACUGGCCAUGCAGAUGUGGAGCACAAGUAGAAAAACACCCUGCAGACCCUGACAAGAAUAAAAGCAAGAGAGAAUCUGUGAUGGGUGAGAAAGGAAAAGUGCACUUUGAAGCAGGGGACGCCCCGCUGGCUCUGCCUAUCGCACCCACCGCCAGCGUGUUCCCCAUCUCUCCUUUUGGUGGUUGCCAUCUCUCAGGUGUCAACUCUUAGGAUGGUGCAUUUCCUGUCUGCUCAUCUGGAAGAUCUGAAGAAAAAGCAUUAGGCUCCAGUGGCAAGAGUUGCACAUUGCUCCCAGGAAAAUGAAGUUUUCUCUUCCUCAGGACUCUCUGAAGUCUUCCUGGAAGUAAUAUUCUUACAUGGAGAUUGCUCUGGCACUGGCUGCUGUCUGAGCUCUGCAUUUAGUCCACAUGAAAGUGUCACAGCCCAAGGGCAUCUGUUCAAAGAGAUGUGGAGAAUUCUGGCUUCCCAGGAUCCUCCCCUGUGUCUGCCAUGCCAGGCUGCAUCAGAUAUGUGGUGCCUGGCAACAGUAAGAAGGCAAAAUGGGAAUGGUUCCCUUUGUACCAGUGACCUGAGAACAGUGGGCUGCAGUGUGGUACUGCUCCAGCUCUGUCAGAAUGCCAGAACUUUUCAUCUGCACUUUGAGGAAUCUGCUAAAACCAGAGCAAGAAACAAACAUCAGGAAUACUGGUAAGGCUGUUCUGCAUGAAACAGUGUCCUGCCACACACAGCAUUUCUGGGGCACCAGAUGCCUUGCAAGGAAGACCAGGAGCAAAGGCAGACAUGUCUUUAAUCACCUGUCAUCCCUCGAUCCCUGAUGGUGCUACCCAGAGGGCUGCCCCAGUCCCUCUGCUCCCCAGUCAUCACACCUCAGCCCAGCCUUGGAGGCAUUUAGUUGCAUGCUACAAUAAGCUGCCCCCAGCAGCCUCCUGAGCAGCUAUGCCUCUGUUUCUCUGCCAUUUGGCAGAGUCCAGUUAUCACAGGGUGGAGGAGAAUGAGGUGCUCUUAUGUGGGAGCAAGGUGAGUGAGAGCUCCUGCUUGAAGUGGGCUUGGGCUGUAGCAGGCCAGCCACAGGCUGGCUGGGAGCACUGUGGAAACAAAGAUACUUGAUUUAAAAAGCUGUGGGGAUAAGGAGUCUGUAACCACAACACAACCACAGGCACCUGAGCAUCAGGCUUCCAACAUCCAUGGAACACCAGAUGCUUUAGGGGAGACUUCUCCCAAGGCAAUAACUGUCCAAGGGGCAAUCUCACGUGAAGCACACCCUGGAUUUGAAGUACUUACUCUGCUCUCCAAGGAGGGGCCCGAUGAAAGGAUCACCACAAGGACCCAAUCAGGACAGGGUCCCAGGUAUUUACAUCGUGUCACCAAAAGAGGUGAUGGGAGAAAUCUGCAUCUCACCUGUGCUCGUUAGCCCCUCUCUUCCUACAGCACUACCUCCAGAACUACCCCAGGACUAGGCUGGAGCCAGUCCAGCCUUUUCUUUCUGCCAACCACAAAUUUAAAAACCAUAUCCUCCUUCCUAUCAUCCAGGACACUGGUGAAAACUCUGAGUAGAACUGGACCCAAGAAACCACUACAAGCUCUGCUUCCUAUGUUCUUCUCUAGCAACAAUUUGUACCCUGAGAUCUGCUCUCUCAGUAUGGUUUUUGAUCAUCCCAAUAGUGUUGUAUCCCAUUCCUCUAAUCUCUAAAGACUAUCUAUAUGGGACAAAGUCUAAAGCCAUUUUCAAGUCAAAAUAGCUGAUACCAACUCUCUUUUGCUGUCUGUUAAUCCUAGUGCAGAUAAAAAUUAGGUUGGCCUGUCAUAAUUUGUCUUGGAAAUAAACAAAAAAACCAAAAACAUGUUCAUAGCUUCUCAUCCCAUUAGCUCACAACAUACAGCCUGCAAUUUUAUUAAGGAUUGUUCUGUGUACUGAGCUACAUGUAGAACUCAUCAGUAACUGGGUCAAAAAAUAAGUCCAUCAGACAACAGAUGCCUAAGGAAAGCAUGUAAGGACAGGGAAGAGUAAAUUAUACUUCCUCCAACAUGCAGCCUCUGGCAGUUUUCAGCUUAGAUACUUCUGCAGCAAAAUGCAGUGUCUUUGUAUCUUGAGUCCUUAUUUUCCAUGAAUUUGUCUAAUCUCUAUGUGAAUGCAUAUAAAAUAUUAUCAUCCACAGUGUACUGUGGCAAAGAGUUCCACGGACAAAUAGUGUUGUGUGAACCACCUCUCUGUGUUAGGUUUGAAUCUUCCUUAUGGCAGUUCCAUCUGAUAUUCCCUGCCCCUUUUAUGUGAAGAUACCAUCAACAGAUAUUUCAUCCUUGCCCUCCCCAUGAUACCCGUGACUUUACGUAUCCAUAGGUCAUCUCUUGCCUUGUUUUAUAAUUGUUACUGGCAAAGAUGCCACUCAGCACCCUUGAUUAUCUUCAUUGGCCUUUUCUGCCCCUUUUUCAAUUCUACAGUCUCCUUUUUGAGAUGGAAGUGAAGAGGACCAGAGGUGAAAAAGCCAUCAGCUCACACAGUGGCGUCUGACACUGUGUUUUGUGCUGUUCCUUUCUUACUGUUUCUUAAUACUUAAUUUGCUUUUGCUUUAGAGAAUUGAAGAAAUGUUUUCAGAAAACUGUUAGCUGUAAUCGUUAGUUGCCUAAUUAUAGUCUGCUCAGAGGCUGCAAUUCUGUGUACAAAGAAUGUCAUUUUUCCAUGCUCAUUGCUUUCCACACACUUACAUUGAGUUUCUUGUGCUGCUUUUCCCAGUGGUCUGUUUCCCUCCUGCCCUAGACAACCCUUACACCUGCCUUUUCAACCUAUUUUUCAGGCUGCUUUUACAUGAGGCAGAUGGUAGUGGUCCCUCCAGGCCUCUACUUGUGAACUUCCUACUGUGAAAAAGCUUUAAUUGAUAUAUUUUCAUCUCUAUUUAUUCACAUAAGAAUUUUCUGUCUUCUUCCAUAAGUUUGCUUUCUGAAAUGAUGUCUGGUAAUCCAGGGUGAUUGUAACAGGAUUUCCAUUCCCUGCCUGAUGGGUGAUCACUUCAAGAAGGCCAACAGCAAUCCCGGGGAAGAAGGUCAAGUUAAGACCUGCGUUGGACUCCACAUCAUCUGCCUAUAGCUUCCUUUCUCCACUGAGGGAUGAAGCAGAUGUUCUUUAGGCAACUUACUAACAAAGCACUUACAGAGCUGUUCUCAUUGUGAUUUGUCCCUUGAUUAUUUGCUUUUUGCCUUUUUUGCCCUUACAGUUUUGUCUGCACAAGCUCGUGCUGUUCUUUUAGUUCUGUUCUCAUUACUUUGACCUAGUUUCCAGACCCUGUGCAACUUCAGAUGGGAGUAAGAAGCAAUGAAGCCACACUUCAGCAUUCAGCCACAUUUCCUCCAGUUCCUCUGCACAGGGAUAUUUUGAGCUUAUUCUCUCAGUAAUUUCUUUAUGGAACUGCCAGUUCUCCUGAAUGCUUUUUUCUUUCACACUUCCAAUCCAGGAGGGGGAAACUACCAUGUCUUCGACUGAAGUCUAUUCCAUUUUUCUGUUUUCCCUCUUUCCACUUUUGGAAUUAUAAAAAUCGCUCACUUAAUGGUUGCUCAUUCAAGUCGCUUUCCAUGUUCGUGUUCCAAAAGUCUCAUUCUUUCUUGAUGAAAAAAAAAAAAAUCUAGAAAUCUGCCUUCUCUUGUCCUUCUCCUUUUUCUUUUUCAAGAAAAAUAAUUUCCAAAAGCCUUUGAAGAGCUGAGGACAGUUCCUCAGCCUCAGCACUGUGACAAACAGCUGGCUUUUCUGACUUGCUUUGGUUAUGGAGAAAAGAUGGCUGAUGCUUUUUUGGGGGAGCUUCUAUAACUGCAGCCAGCUUAGCUGCACACUGCGGUUUCCAUAUAGCUCAGAACUGGGCUGACCACACCAGCAAAGAUCUCUGCUUCUGUGCUAAGCUGUUCAGCAAAUGUUUCUUCCACACAACAUUUUCAUUUCCUAUGAAAAAAAAAUAUAUAUAUCUUUGGGGGGCGGUGGAGGGGGGGAGGGUUAAAAAUGAAGCACUUUUUAGCUUUUUAGAAAAUGAACGUAGAGAACAGAAACUUGCUGUGAGAAGUUUGGUUAACAGAUUUUUCUCUUAUAAAAAGAGCAGAGCAAGAAAUCUGGGAGCUUGCACAGCUGGGUGAGCCAUGUAGGAUGGUUGGUUGAGCUCUAAGGCUGUUGAGAAACAGAGACUUUGUCAGCAGCUGAACAGAGGUGCAGAUUUCAGGAUACGACGGCAUUCCUGCUGCUUGCUGACUGUGCUGCUCCAGGAGCAGCUGGAUGGGCAGAGUGCAGUUUCUCAUGGAUCAAACUCUCAUGUUUGGAUACUCUGGUGCCUAAUAAGGUGUGAUAUCCAAUCCAACCAUUUCCCCUGCAGUUAGGGCAGACACAACAUUUUUUUCCCUUGUGUAUUUCGUAAUAGGGGAAGAACUCACACCACCACCUUUUCCUCCCUGGGGGCACCAAUAAGCACUCCCCCUCUAACUCAGGCAAAUGUGAAGGUAUUUACCAUGAUUUAAGACUGGCUACUGUCAAACUUCAUUAAAACUCUGGAAAUUGAAUCUUUAAUGAUCAAAGCGACAGAAGAGAUGGAAAUGAUGUUUGAAAUAGUUCAAAUUCUGUUUUCUUGCGAAGCCACUCUGAUAACAAAAAGAAAAAGAAAAGGUGAUUUCAAUUCCACGUGUUAUAGAAGAGCAAGAUGGGAAAAGGGCCCUUCUCACCUAUGAGCUUUUCAUGAGACGGUAUUGGGGACACUCCAAAGCACAGUGCAAUGCAAACCCAUGGGUAUCAUCAAACAUUUUCAGCUCAGAGUAAGGAGGGAUGGACCUUGCUCUUUGUUAGAACAUUAAGUCUCUGUGUGAGUGAAGGGACUUACCUUUCCUCUGUGGUUUUCUUGUCUUAUUUUGCUUACUUUCCGGCUGGCCGGAACCCCAGAUAUCUUUGAAGAGUUCCAGUGGGUACUGGGACACUCUGGAUACUGGGAAGAUGCUGCAUACACUGACAGGUUCAGAUGGUCUCCUUCCUACACUCUGGAUCCCAGCUUUAUUCAUUUACCUUUCUUGAGCUUUCUCCCUGGCCUGGGUACAUGAUGUCCCUUGGGCAGCAGCUAUCUUACAGCUUAUUUUUAGACAACAGCUUUUUUCCAUGAGGACAAAGGAGGAAAAGGAAAGGAUUUCUCCCCCCUUUGCCUCCUUAUAGUCUGGCCUAGAAGGUGUCUAAGAGAUGUUGGCAGCCACUAGCCUCAAGCCUUGGCAGGGCCCCAACCCACCAGCCAUUCCCUUCUGCUUCUUCCUCCACCAUUCCCAGAGCACAUUUUCUGUCACUUGGUAUAAAUUCAGGAUUCAUUUCUACCUUCAGCCCUGUAAACUCAUGCCAUUUAUAUCACAUCUUUGGAAGGCUCAGGUGAGUUCGCCAGCAGCCAUGGUGGGAGAACUUCUAAUAUUCAUCAGACCUUGCUUACCUUAGUAAUUCUUCCUCUCGGAAGAGUGAGACCAACAACCCACAUUCCUAAUGCACUUGUGGUCACUAAGGCAAGAAAUAGACUGAGAGGAGUGUUUAACUUGCACCCACUUCUUGGCAUAGCUGGAGGAUGUGCUUCCCAGGCAGGGAGAUAAAAGUCAGUGAGCAUGCAGCAGGCAUCCUGGCUGCUGCCUUUGAUCUCUGCCUUGCACUGCAGUUGUUAAACAGACUAUGGUGUUUGGUCUGGCCAGGACACAGCCCUGCUCUGGGGGCCUGGCUGGAAUGUGCUUGAAACCAUUUGGAACAAUAAGCAGUAGUUCAUGCCAGUUCAGACAGUGCUGGGCUGCACUCCAUCAAGGCAAGAGCUAGAGAUAUUAACUCUUGCAUGACUCCAAAUUACUUUGUAAAGGAAGAGUCCUGAAUUUUAAUUUAAUCCUUUGCUUCUUUAUGGCUCUCAGCUGAAUGGAGAACCACCACUGUGAGUAGCACUGAGCUGAAAACCUGAACUGGAAGUCACUGUACAAGCUUUCUGCUUCAGUUUUCCAUAGAGUGGGCACUACAUACUUCUUGCUCAGCCCUUGUUAUUGCAGAUCAUGGUCAUUUGUUAAAAUUCAGGCCAAGAUCUUAGAGAUACUUAAGGGUCACAGCUAGACUCUUGACAGUUUUAAGACUCCUCUAUUUCUUUGUGUAUAUAAAUCUAAAGCUAAAUGAUCCAGAUGGUGGGAUUCAGGAGCACACAGAGGAACAGCUGGCCUUUGCAACAGCACAAGUAAACUUCUAUGGGGAUGAGUAAGCUACAGGGUAUGUGGUAGAUUCUUCACAAUUCAUAAAAUAUCAUCUGAGCCUCUGUUUAAGGAUGGAGACUCUUGAGUAUUUCUAGGAAUCUGGAGCCUUAUGCACAGCCUAUGUGUGCAUCAUGUCAGAAGGUCCUGAACUAGUCUUGGCUCUUGGGACUGCUUGUGUAUUUAUCUUCUAAAUAUAAAAUACUUCAGACCACUGAGAAUCCCUAGCGACAGAGAGUGGCUUUCCAAAUACCUCUUUACUGUGUAAUGAGUGAUUCCGGUUCCGUGAGUUCAGGCCGAGCAGGGCCUGGUGCGCAGUGCUGUGUUGAUUGCCCUAAGCGCCACGCUGGCCUGCAACAGGAGGCCACAGCUGCUGUUUCUUCUAUUGGGGCUCCCUGUGAGGCUAUGAGGUGGUCACCCCGUGGUUCAGUGCCCUGUACAAAUGCUGCCUGUGACCAUUGUUUUCUAACAACCAGCUCAGCUUCAGGGAUCCUGAACAGAGGCACCGAGAGUCACACCAAGUGCUGAGAGACUGGACACUUAUCUUCUCAUAGAGUCAUGCAAUGGCUGAAGUUGUAAGGGUCCUCAAAGAUCAUCUAGUUCCAACCCAGUGAGCUGGAUGCCCUCCACCAGAUCAGGUUGUCCAGAAUCCCAUCCAAACUGGCCUUGGGCACCUCCAGGGAUGGGACACCCACAGCUUCUCUGGGCAGCAGUGCCAGGGCCUCAAUGCCCUCGGAGGAAAGAAUUUCCUCCUGACAUUUAAUCUAAGUCUCCCCUCUUUUAGUUUAGAGCCAUUCCUCCUUGUCCUAUUACUAUUAGACUGUGCAAAAAUGUGCUUUCCUGUUUAUAAGCUCCCCACAAUUACUGGAAGGCUGUAAGGUCUCCCCUGAGUCUUCCAUCUCCAGGCUGAACAUUUCCCAACUCUAACAACCUUUCUUCAUAGCAGAGGUGCUCCUGCCCUCUCAACAUCCUGCUGGUCUUAUUCUGGACCCACUCCAUCAGCUCCACAUUCUCCUUGUCCUGGGCAUCCCCAAUCAGAAUGCAGUACUCCAGAUGAGGCCUCAUAAGGGAAGGGCAGAGGGGGACAGUCCCCUCCCUGCCUCUGUUGAUACCAAAGUACUGCUGGCAUUCUGGGCUGCAAGCACACAGUGCUGGCUCACCCUGAGCUUUUCAUCCACCAGGACCCCCAAGUCCUUCUUCUUGGGGUUGCUUUCAGUGAGAUCUCCCAGUCUGUGUGCAUAUCUGGGAUUGCCCCAACCCAGCUGCAGCAUCUUGUACUUAACCUUGUUAAAUCUCAGUAGGCUCUUAUCGGCCCACUUUUAAAGCCUGUCCAGGUCCCUCUGAAUGACAUCCCUUCUUUCUGUUGCAUCACCUGCAUCACUCUGCUUGCUGUAAUCAGCAAACUUAACUGAGGGUACCCUCAAUCUGAUUGUCUAUGUCAUUGAUCAAGACGCUGAAAAGUCCAAAGGGGUCCCAAGAUAGACCCCUUCGAGACACUGCUCAUGCCCACCUCCACCUGACUUUUGUCACCUGUCAGAAAUACUCAGGUCUCUCUCUUUCCUGUGCUGAAACCCUAGGCACCCAUCUUCACCCUGAUGGGCUCAAGCAACAGCUAUCUUAGUUUUGGUAAUACUUACAUCUACACCUCGUGUAGGUCUCAGUAGAUCCCAAGAUCUUUGUUCAAUCAUUUUUUCCCUUGGUAGGGUGUACAUAGUUACAUGCUGAUUCCUGCAGAAGCAUGUGGGCCUAAAGAGACAAAAGUCACAGUGUGGAGCAGUGGGGAGAUCUCUAUCCCCCACUAGCCAAUGCACUGUUUAUCCUUAACCCUCCCAUAAUCUCAGUUUCGCACAUCUGGACCAGGCUGCACACCCAGAGAGAAGUGACAACACAGCCCCUGUGGUAUUUCAUACAGGGAAGACUGUCCCGAGGCCUGUCUACUUUCCUUGGGCUGAGCUUAGAGAAUUGGGAAGAGUGUCCAAGACAUCCCCGUCCCCAUCCUCAUGAAGAGUGCAGAAGGUUUGCUCACCACUGCUGCCUCUGCCCAGAUGUGCUCUUACCAGAUGUGUGCCUACACCAGGAUCCUAUGGAGAGUCUGUGACAGCAAGGGCAUAGAAACACAUGCUCACACCUUUCCAAUCAGCACCAGGUUAGAGUGAGAAGGCAGUGAAGAACAGCACUUUUGUGUAAGCUGUGUGGAUAUUUUAGGCUGAUGGGAGCAGAGGACUGAGAAAGGAAAGAGGAAACUUCCCUUGCAUCAUGGUCUCCUUGCAUCAUGGCUACUCUGGAAAGCAGCUGAAAUGCGGAUUAAAUGCAGAAGUCAUCCAGUCACCAGGAAAAUACAUGAACCCUGGCUGUAAGACGAAUUUACAACUCUACUCAUUGCUAUGCCAUUGACUCAUUUCUUCUGUUUCCCUUGGGUCUCCUGUCUGUGGCUAAGAUCUCUCGGAAGAAGCUAUCUGCCCAUAUGCGAUGCAAUAUAUCCUCAUCUCCAGAUGCAUCUUGUAAUAGUGACAGUGUGGGCAGCAGCCAGGCCCAGUCUGUGUGUGCUCUGGAAGGCUUUCACAGAGGAAAACAAAAGGGAUCUCAGUUUACAGUAAGACAGAUCCUUCCAAGCCCUCCGAAAAGAAAGCCAGUGCUCUUUGUUGUACAGUGCUACUCAGAGGAUGCAAAACUAAGUGAAAUGUCUGUGUCUUCCUCUCCAAGCUCUGAGCAAACUACAUGAAAUGGAGAGCUUAUACCCUGAUGACCUUCACGCUUCUUGCUCUCAGCUAGGUAUGUUUAACUGCAUAGCUGCUGCCUUCAGGUGUUAUUGCAAGAAUGCAAUACAGGCAUGCAACAGAUGGUGAUGUUUUCCUGCAGGAAAUAGUGUUUCUGCAGCAGACUUAACUUCCAUCUGUGGUCUUGUGGAACGGCGUAGCUCAUUAGCUUUCACUGAGGUGGGCUCUUGGACAUGGCUCUGACAUGAAUGAUUCUGCAGCUGCCUGGAAAAGCUCUGUUUAUUGCUACUGCCAUCCUGACGACUUCCUUUAGAAGUAUCUCAUUAUUUCACCCAUAUCUGUAGCUACACCCCACUCCAAAAAAUGGCUCCAGCAGUGCAUCGCCCUUCUUUGAUCUUUGUGCACAUCUCAAGAAAGCUGUGGAUGUAGCAGUUGUUCGGUACCUACUCAGAAGAGUGGAACAGCCUACUGGGGGGGAGAAGUGAUAGCAGGAAUCAGAAGCCUUUUCCUAUGUAAUUUAUAUUUCACUGUCUGGAUUUUUCCUUAAGAAAACAUUCAUUCUAAACUUAACUCUGAUGUGCAGACUCCUAGAUCCAUCUCUCUGCUAUUCUUGGUUCUCUUCUAAUGAACUUACCCAAAAGUUAACUCACAGAGAUGCUUGCUUUUGGGUGCAUUCAUUUCCCAAAGUUGUUCUGUGCACUCAUCGUUUGAGAGAAAUGCAAAACUACAUCACAUUAUAAGAAUGGAAUGAUCAAAGUGAUGUCCUAGCAGAACUAAAAUCAACUCAGUCUAUUUCCUGGGUGGUGAAGAGAAAAAGAAAUGAAUGUAAAAAUGUGAAAGAUAUUGGGUUUAGAAGAUGUGUGGCCCUGGUGGGGGGCAACCACUGGUGAGGUUGGGGGGGCUUUAAGUUCCCAGCCAACCAUUCUGUGAUGCUGUGCUUUACGAGAGCUGGGUCAUACCUGCAUGGCUGCAUUCUGAGAGCUUCCAAUCUGGGAAACUCAGGUGGUGGAAAAACUUUCCAGAUUGAACUCCAGAAUCAGCGAUGGGAUUUCCCCCCAUGUGACUUUCCAAUACUCGUGUAAAUGUCAGGCUGUGCUUUAACUGUGUCCAAAAAUGAUCUGCCUUUAACCUCGGUUUUAAUUCAAGCUAAUUUUAACAAAUGCCAACACUUCCCAUUGCUGUGGAGGUGGCUGUCCUUGGGCAUCCAGGCCAUACUCACAGGGUGCUCAGCCAUGAUCCAGUUCUGAAGGAUACCUCGCAGUGGGAACAGCAAGCAGCUCCAUGAAACUGCCCCAGCUGAGAUGGGAGAUGGUAAUACAGAGUGCCUACAUGGUACAAGUAUCUUCCAGUGCUGAACAUUACUCAAGAACUGGGCUUUCUCUCUAUAAGAGCCUUACUUCUCUGUAUCUCAGUUAACUGUAUUCUUAUUUUAAUUACUCCCACUCACAGAAGUUGACCCUCCUGUACCUUAGUUCCCCUGCCUUCUUGAGACACUUCUAACAACUGAAAUCCCAUGUUCUACUUUCUAGAUCCCUAAGUCAGAAGCUGUUUUGAGAAGUGAAUUACACACUGUUGUGACCAAUCCAGUGCUUUCACCCUUACAUUCCAUUAGGACUCCAAAACUAUCUACUGCUGCCUAAUUAUUGCUGAUCACUUUUCCCUCUUGUUUCCAAACUCUUCUACUGAAAUGUCACCUUAAUCUGGAUCCUCAUCUUUGCCCCUGCAAAAAAGGCUUUUGUCGUGGGAGCCUUCCCACGAAGGUCCAGCAGCUAUUUGGCAAGCUUUCCAUUGCAGUGUUUGAACAAAGAUUUACUCUUCGUGUCAUGUCAGUAAUAAGCUUCUUCUUGGUAUUUUCUUUUGCCAUCCCAUAUUGUAAUUGUAUGUAGAACGUGUCAGAGCAUAUUGUCUGCUUCUUUGUUGCUUCAUAAUCUUUUUUAAUUCUUUGGGAUUGCUCUAUUUACUCAGGCAUUUAAUAUGUCCCUCUAAACAACCUAUGAUUUAUUUACCAGCAUUUAUACACACAGCUGCUUCAUUUCAUUUCAUUUCAUUUCAUUUCAUUUCAUUUCAUUUCAUUUCAUCAACAGAGGUCUCGCUUUUUCCCCACUUAAAACUCGAGUGCUCUUGUGGUGGAUUUUCCUUCUUUUGGCAGAUUAUUAGGUUUAAAUAUGUCACAAGCAUUUACAGAGUGGCUUGCUUUCUCCAGUGGUUCUCAUCUCAUAUCCUCUUAGACUAUUGGCUUUAACAACCAGUUUACCCAUUGCCUCUAACAAACAUUUGGCUGUGGGGAUUCUAACAUCCUUUUCUAGCUGAAAGCAGCUGGUAAGAGAUCAUGUGCUGGAAUGUGGACACAACUAGGCAUUGAUUUUGAAUCUUCAAGCCAGAGGACUUCAACUUUUGCAAGUGCUCAAUGGUUCCUGCACUCAGUGGUACCUGCACUGAGUCCUGAUCUUGCCUCAUCACUGCUGACUGUUUUGAGAGCCCGCUGACAUCCUAAAAUAUGACAGUGGUACACAUAACCUUGAGAAAAUCAGCAAAUAAAGUGUUAAAGACAGAACUUUCUUCUUUCUGUGAAUGGCGUUCAGCUUUUUCUUCACUUCCCUAGGACAGAAGUUUUGCUCUUUAAUAAUCUAAGAUCUUUUUUUCCCCAACUUUGGAAUGCAACUGUAUUUAAAACAAACAAACAAACAAAAAUCAUAAUUAAUAUAUAAGAUGGUAAAUGGCAGCCCUUUACAGUCUAUUCAACUAUGUAGUAUUAAUAGUGUCAUUCCAUAACUGUCUGGAUAUUCUGAUCCACUCCUCAUCAAAUCACAGCCUUGUGAAGGAUACCAUACGCCGCUUUCUUUACCUUUCAGUUCAAAAAGUUACAGUUCAGGUUAUGUUAACUCUAUACUAUCAGAAAUAAUGGAAAACAAAAACUUAGAAAAAGCCUGGAGCAUGGCAGCUCCACUGUCUUAUGGCGAUGUGGCUCCACUGUCCUAUGUCCAUGGAGUUGCUAAUACUUCUGCACUGCUCUGAGACCUCUGCCCAAGUUCAUAGAAUGAGCAUACGAAGCUUGUCCAGGGCCUUUGAAAUACACAUUAUUUCCUGUCACAUCCUGUGACUCAGUCCUGAAUUUUUUAUCUGAAGAAUAAAAACACGCUAUAACAGUUUGCUUUUAAUUUGUAGCCUGCAGCUGUCGGAACAUUUAUUUAUAUCAGGGAUUUUUGUAGAGAACUAUUAAAAAUAAGAGCAGGUUUUCUUGAAAUUGACUUUUUAUAUGAAGGAGUUAAUGAAUGUGUUUUGUUCUGAUCAUUGUAUGUGAAAUGUAUUCUGGCUGCCUGGAGAUCUCUGAAAAAAGAAGAAAAGUAAAUACCUGAUUGUUCAGAAAGUGACCCCAUUAUCACACCAUGUGCCUGUUUUGUAAUGGCAGUAACAUCAGAAGAGGAAUCAUAAUUCAGGACAAACUGUCCAAAAUACAGAGCAUAAAAUCCACCACUGAAGUCCCUCUUCUGAGUGAUAUUUCAGGUGAAGACGCCACCCCUUGCUAUCUUUCACAACAAGUAUUUUGUAGGAACACAAAUUCUUUAUGAUGAGAACUUAUCCCCUGCUGAGCUGUGGGCUUUGUGAUGGAGCAGUAUAGAAGUCUUAACAUUUUGAGUGUAUGGGAACAUGUCCCACUGAUCAAACCAUUGAUGUCUGAUGCAGUGUGAUGUGAUCUUGGCAACUCUCCUGUCCAUAGUCAGAAGGAAUGUUCAUUUUCAGGAAAAAAAAAAUACAACAAAAACCAACACAGUGCUGGCAGGCUCUGCUGCCCUGACGUUGGCUGAAUGCUGUGUAUGUGCACUCAUGAUGGCACAACACUCUGCCUGUAGAGUCCUACCAGGGAAGGAUUCUUCACCUUUGUUUCUCUCCAUGGAGAUAGACCCAAAGGCAUAGGAAAAAAGUAAAUAAGUCAUCAGAUAAACCAAGAAAAUGGCAGAGCUGCUGGCACGGAGCUCCUGUCAUCUGGGAUUGGUCAUCUCUCCACUGGUCAGAGAAGGAGCAUGAAAUAGAAAUGCCUAGAGUGCAUACAGGUGAUGAUCAUGACUCUUUCCCACUACCUGUGCACUAGAGAGGACUCAGGCAGUUAAGGCAAUCAAAUGCAGAAAAGGAAAAUAAUAAACAGGAGCACACUGUGUGAAAUUCAGCCUGCUUAUCUGUGAGAUCCGUGCAUCUGCCAGUCUCCCAAGACAGCCUAAAGAGCUCCGGUACAAAUCUGCAGUUCAGUGCACCAUGUUCAGCAGUGCCUGGGCUACAACCUCCACCAGCUGGUUGUCUGUGAAUGCUGUGGCACCAGCCCACAUCACUCAUCUUACAGCUGCAGAAAGAGCUCAAGGCUUGUGUUUGCACCCAGUGGCUGCACCACUCCCCCAACCAUCUGGUGAGGCUGGAUUGGCCCGACAAUUGCUGGGCAUGGUUGCCUACAUCCAGUUGGCGUAAGUGGCUCUAUGGAAGGGACAUCAAUUUGCUCAGUGAGCAGUGCACUGUUUCUGGCUCCUGGCCCAUGCUGUGUCUGGAACAGGGCUUGAUUUGCCUCUGAAUAACAGCACACAGGGUCAGAGACAAAAUGAAUUUAUCGUCCUCUGUAAGAAAGUGAGUAAAGAAAGUGGGGAAAGGAAAAACUGUGGGGAUGUUUGGCACGAGGCUGCUGAGCCUUGGCAGUUGGCUUGGGCUGCGCUGGGAAGAGGCGUGGGACCAAUGGAGUCAGCGUGGGGAGCAGAGUGGUGGGUGGGCUCUGAGGGCCAGGAGGGGAAAUGAAAGCGGAGAAUGUAUGCAAAGAAAGAGGUUUGUUUUCUGCCAACACUGCUACCUGCGAAGGUCCAUCCUGAAGUGCCAUUGCUACCAGCGGUGUGCGGCACAACUGAGCACAGCCAUCAGAUGGACGAGACGUGGGGGGGAGAAGCGGAACACAUUUCCUGGCAGCUCAGCAGAGCACCUCAAACAAUCGCUGGGACUGGAAGAGCUGAGCAGACACCGCUGGCACACGGCAUUACAAUGGGUCCCUGUUCUGCUCGGCCCCGUCAGCAGGCAGGGAGGCCUGAGCUCUCCAGCUCUCCUUUAUUUGGUAAAACUUAAUGGGAUUUCAUUCCCGGCUUGUUCCAAAAAAACUGCUUGCAAUUUUCCUUCCCAGAUUAUCCCCUCCUCCAAAACAAAGAACUCCUUGUGCAUUUGGAGAGUCCAAGGGAGGGGCUGUGCUGAGCCUGCACUUUCAACUAGGAAGACCCCAGAGCUGUAUGGACAGAAGGACAGACCCGUACUGAUAUUCCCAGCCCACCACAUUGUCCUCUCUCUGCAGCGUCCUGUUACUUUCGGGAGUGCACUGUCAAAUCUGCAGCUGCUCAUCCCUGCUAUUUUCACAGAAUAUUGUAAGAGAAGGGCUGCUGAAGCAUUCUGGCCAUGCUGCAGAUUGCAGAGCUGUGGAGUGGCAGUGACCAGCAGAGGGUGAACUUGUGAUGCUCUUUCCUGAAACCAAACCUUUCUCUGACUUAAAGUACCCUCAUUUGGCCUUCAGUUUUGCUGAAUGAUACAGCUACAAAUGAAAAAAAAAAAAAGUGCAGAAUUCCAUCUGAUAAG